Molecule: non-coding RNA, 2101 nt
Organism: Nelumbo nucifera (sacred lotus)
Lineage: Eukaryota; Viridiplantae; Streptophyta; Magnoliopsida; Proteales; Nelumbonaceae
Source: RefSeq, a predicted model, not a curated record
GCCGCGGGAAAUCCAAUUUUUUUUUCCGCAUGAAUUCAAAAGUUCUUCGAUCCUAGGUUUUUGGCGAAGGUUCGAAUGGGGAAAGAGAAGUAGCACCAAGCAGUUUCUCAUUUGCUCGAGAGACGAGAGUUUUAAGCAGAGAGAGAAAGCGCGACGAAGAUGGAGGGUUUUUUCUCUGACUGCUUUCAUUUUAGUGAAACCCUAGUUCAAGUCAUGUUCGAGUGUUUCCAAUCAGAGAGAGAGGGUUUUUUCACCGAGUAGUUUCUCAUUUGCUCGAGAGACGAGAGUUUCAAGUAGAGAGAGAGAGAGCGACGAAGAUGUAGGGUUUUUUCUCCUAAUUGGUCACUCAAGUUCUUGCCCACUUACGCGGCUUUUUUUUCAAUCUGAACAUCAGAGGAAAUGGGUAUAGAGCAUGACCAAUCAGUUCUUGCCCCGACAACCAUUGCUGUCGUCGAUGGUCAAUCAUGGCAGAAGGGGCUACGCCCCGCCAUCAUCUUCCUCUGACGCCCCAGUUCGAGUCAUGUUCGAGUGUUUCCAAUCCACUCAACCGAAUCAAUCACUCAAGGGACUGCGACAACAUCAUUUUUUUUCUUCUGCGGUCUACAAAGCACCACCAGCCGGUGACCUUCUUUGUUUCCUACAACUGAUCGCGAAUCUUAGCUAUUAGCAGUACAAGUAAUAAAUCUAGAGGAGAUUUGUGUCAUCCAAGUGCCUAAACUGAUCCAUAUGACUUGAGCAAGGGUUUAUCAAAAAUCUGAGACCGAAUCAUUUCUUUCAAAAAAAGGGAUUUUCGAGCCGUGAAAGAUCGGUGUGGUUUGCAACUUACUUAGCGGUUCAGGAAAUAUUUUCUAACAAUUAAUACCCGAAGUGAUCAAUCAUCCACCCCCACACACCGCUUGGAGUUCUACUCUGAAAAGACCCAAAUAAAUUUGGGAGUUCUAAUCGAAACAACCUCUAGAAGCGAGGCUCAUUCAAGCAUGAGGGAUUGAAGCGAGAAAUCCAAUCAUUGACCUAACUGGGUAAUAUAUAUUCAAUCUCUUGUUUUUUUUUUUUUUGUUUCUUCCUCCACUUAUAAUUGAUCAUAAUAGUUUUUUCCCCACUCUUUUAUUUAAUCUGAUACGUAUCAUUUUUGAAAUCAUUGAUCAAUUUUUUAUUCAAGUUAAUUAUUUACUACUAUAUCAUGUAUGAGGUGAUGUUCAAUCAUUUGCAAGGAUAUGCAUUGUUGGGAGACAUCCAAACCAGUUGUCAUAUGUAAACUGCUGCUGCUAUCUACGGGCUCUAACCUUUGUAGUUCUAAGAAGAUAUGAACCUAAAUUUGAUGUUGUACACGAUAAACCAAAGAAUCUGAGCGCAAACAGGCAAGAGAAGAUUCAUUUCAACAUGUGAUGAGUGGAAUGGAUGACAGAAGUGAGCUUUCUACUGAUGAACAUCAAUUCAAGGAUGGAGGUAUGCAGUAUCAACCAACCAUCACAAUGAACCCAAUAAAGCUCCAGCGACAGAAACUACGACGGGCAAGGAGGGAACUUCAAAUUGCAGAGCUCAUCCACCAGAACAAAGAGUCUAAAAAGCAAAUGCAAGCAGCAACAAUUGAACAAUCCAAAUAGCUCAACACUAUAGCCAAGGGAAGGUACAAUAUAUGGAGGAGAGAAUACGAAAGUCCAAAUUCUGACUCCACCUUGAAGCUUAUGAGGGAUCAGAUCAUAAUUGUAUGCAUAUAAUGAAAAUUCCAGGUCUCAAAUCUGGGUGUGAACCUCAUAAGAGCUGUAAAUCAUGCAUUUGAUAAGGUCCAGGACUCUAGGUCUGGUUAUACGUGGAGCUAUCAAUUUCCAAUGCAUAGUUAAUGUGGUUAAGUGUGUGAUUAGUUGGAGGCAUCAAGGAAACGGUGAAGGAAUUCAAGAAAUAUUCCAAAGUUGAACAUUCAAAAGGAAGACAACUAUCAUUACCAAUGGCUUGUAUGGUUAAUAUGUCAAUUGGAUAUCGUUGGAAAGUUUGGAAGUUUUUGAGGUUCUUGUAGUGUUGAUAUGUCAAUUGGAUGUUGUAUUUGAAUAAUUUGUUUUUUGGAUUUUUUAAUGUAAUUAAUCUUUAAAUUACUAGAUGUUUU